CCCGGUUCCCAAAGAGGAAAGUUGGAUUCUGGAGCUGCCAAUGGGGAUUUGGGGGCUGUCACAGAGGUUGGAAGUCAGUGUUCCCACAGUGAGCAAUGGCUUGGUGCCCUGCGAUGCUUGAGGUUAACCAGGAAUGAUAUUAAACCUGCGGGGUGACCCUGAUGGGGUGAGAUCUAUUUUUCCCACAGUACCCUUCAGAUCUCAGCAGUGGUGAGUAGCAGCCCAGCAAAGCAGAGCAGGUUGCAGAGGGAGCUGUGCCCAGCUUUGGCUGUGGACUGGAAGUGAAGGGCUGAAAUCCUCUCCAGAUCCCCGGGAUUAAAUUCUCAGCAGGACCUCCCUAUGCUGUGGUGCUAAGGAGUGCGUUCAGAUUACCUGGGAAAGGAGGCCAACCCCCGUCCUGCUUGCAGAAGGAGGUACCAACACCCCUCAGUGCCUGGGCUGGCAGAUUUUCCUGAGGACGGGAAGUGUGGUGGUUGGUAGAGGAUGGACUCUGUUGUCUUCCAGGUAAGAGCCAGCCCUGCUCAUCACUUCACCUUAAACUCAGACCAACCUCUUACCACUGCUGAAGCAACAGAUGCACUGCA
This is a long non-coding RNA of Gallus gallus (chicken), 584 nucleotides long. Lineage: Eukaryota; Metazoa; Chordata; Aves; Galliformes; Phasianidae. The record is from Ensembl.